Molecule: long non-coding RNA, 1175 nt
Organism: Oncorhynchus tshawytscha (Chinook salmon)
Lineage: Eukaryota; Metazoa; Chordata; Actinopteri; Salmoniformes; Salmonidae
Source: Ensembl
GAAAGACUUGUGGAGGAAACUUUCUAGCCUACUAUGAGAUAAAAUAUGUAGGGCAGGCCACAUGUCAUAUGAGGAAUGUUGGUGAUGCUGAUCCUAUUGUUUCUUGUUACCGACCUGAGGUCACAUGACUAGAACAUAGUUGUACUCACACAACCUAUCACACUCUUGUAUAAGAUAGGAUCACUUUUGACAGGAUUAUAGACAAUUUGCUACACAGUAUGAGGAACUUGUUGCACUUUGUGUUUGUUUGAGUUGCUUGCUGUACAGCCUGACGAUGUGGAUCACUAUACCUAUUGUGAGAGUUGCUUGACUACAGCCCAAGAAAUUGAGAGCAGAAGAAAGACACAGCAGAGUCCAGACGGGAUGUUAUUGAGAAGCUAGUCAGUGGUGCUGUGUACCAAGAUUUAGAUGCUAAAAUCCCCACUGAACACAUUUUAAUGUAACUAUGUUCAACUGUACCAACUCUGUUUAUUUAAUCUCCAAAAUUCUCUUAGAAUAAAGAUAUUUCUCAAUAUCAUGUUGUUUUAUGUUAUUGUAAUUUCUGCCAUACUAACUGACAAUGCAAUCAUUUGUAGGUUCACCCACUAAUGCAAUAUAUUGAUAAAGGAUGUGACAACUAUUAUCUUAAUGGUAUCAAGUGUUCAGCCAUCUGCCCUUUUCCAGAAACAUCCAUAUUGCGUUUCUCUCUGUCUCAUACAAAAUCCAUAUCUGAAUAAGCUAAGAAUUAACACAGUUGGAUUGAAGUAUAUGAAUUUGAAUGGGAUAUUAUUGAUUAUGCAUUAUACACUAUUUCAAAUUUGCUUUCAUUUGUAAAUUACAUUGUCAAAUCACUCAAUUUGAAUGUGAGUCAUGUAAUACUUUUACAGAUUCAAGAGAUAAUUAUGAUGACUGAAUAAUGAUUUAUUUCAGAAAUUCUGACAUAAAUAAAGAUGUAGUAUAUUUAAUUCAACUGCUAAUAAUAGUAGGUACAUUUCAUAUUCACAAAUGCAAAUGGUCUAAUUCAAAAACCUAACUUUUUUCACUUUAUAAAUGAGUUUAAACAAUAUGGCACUACUUACAUUAUUUUUUUUUAAGGCAUUUAAAAAUUGUAUUAUUAAUUAAUAUGAUUUGUUUGUUUAGGAUUCCUGGCAACGUAAAUAGUUUGUUUGUAUGCUUGUUUUCAUGUGACUAUUCCU